RNAcentral lists this small nuclear RNA (107 nucleotides) under Procavia capensis (Cape rock hyrax). The record is from RNAcentral. Lineage: Eukaryota; Metazoa; Chordata; Mammalia; Hyracoidea; Procaviidae.
GUGCUCACUUCGGCAGCAUAUACACUGAAAUUGGAAUAGUACAAAGAAGAUCAGCAUCGUCCUUGUGUACAAACGGCACACAAAUUCAUGAAGCAUUCCAUAGUUUU